Molecule: ribosomal RNA, 448 nt
Filed under: uncultured bacterium
Lineage: Bacteria
Description: partial 16S ribosomal RNA
Rfam family: Bacterial small subunit ribosomal RNA
Source: RNAcentral
AACGAACGCUGGCGGCAUGCCUAACACAUGCAAGUCGAACGAUGCUUUCGGGCAUAGUGGCGCACGGGUGCGUAACGCGUGGGAAUCUGCCCUUUGGUUCGGAAUAACAGUUGGAAACGACUGCUAAUACCGGAUGAUGACGUAAGUCCAAAGAUUUAUCGCCAGAGGAUGAGCCCGCGUGAGAUUAGGUAGUUGGUGGGUAAAGGCCUACCAAGCCGACGAUCUCUAGCUGGUCUGAGAGGAUGAUCAGCCACACUGGGACUGAGACACGGCCCAGACUCCUACGGGAGGCAGCAGUGGGGAAUAUUGGACAAUGGGCGAAAGCCUGAUCCAGCAAUGCCGCGUGAGUGAUGAAGGCCUUAGGGUUGUAAAGCUCUUUUACCCGGGAUGAUAAUGACAGUACCGGGAGAAUAAGCCCCGGCUAACUCCGUGCCAGCCGCCGCGGUAA